Folsomia candida is the source of this 526-nucleotide long non-coding RNA. RefSeq lists it as uncharacterized. NCBI's taxonomy places the organism in Eukaryota, Metazoa, Arthropoda, Collembola, Entomobryomorpha, Isotomidae. The transcript has 3 exons. The record is from RefSeq and is a predicted model, not a curated record.
CGACACUUUGUUCGAGAUGUGGCUGCUGUCAAGUUGCCACGUCGACAGCAGAAGAAUUCAAUACAUAUGGCAAAUUGUGAUAAUUUAGUGAACACAAUUUAUUAAUAAUUGGAAAUCGUAACCGUUGCGUGCGAUCAUACCUUGAACGCAAUUGUGUGUUUGUUUGAAUGUGCAUACAAGUUUUUUAACGCUGCACCAGUUAGUGAAUAAAUAAUUUUGACCCAGGAAAUCCAAUUUGACCGAGGCGAAAUGAUGGUCCACUCCCUUGUCACAUUUCUUCACUAUUCGAUGGACAAUAACGUCAAACUAAGUCGGACCUUUCCAGGGUUGCCUCACCGUUUGUGAGAAAAACUAUUGUUUUGUUCCAAGCAUAUUUUAAUUUCUUACGUACAUACAUAUGUAGAACCAACGGCAAUAUGUCAAUUGGUUGUGUAACAAAAAAUGUUUGGACAGUUAAUUUAACCACUAUGGCAUUUAUGAAACAUUAAUAUGCAUCUUGACUUUAUAAAUGUAAUUCAGUAUGUAA